ACGAGCCUGCGAAGGCAAGCGGAUCUCUUAAAGCUGUUCUCAGUUCGGACUGCAGUCUGCAACUCGACUGCACGAAGCUGGAAUCGCUAGUAAUCGCGGAUCAGCACGCCGCGGUGAAUACGUUCCCGGGCCUUGUACACACCGCCCGUCACACCAUGGGAGCCGGUAAUACCCGAAGUCAGUAGUCCAACCUCGUGAGGACGCUGCCGAAGGUAGGAUUGGCGACUGGGGUGAAGUCGUAACAAGGUAUC
This 251-nucleotide ribosomal RNA is filed under the name uncultured bacterium. RNAcentral's name for it is "partial 16S ribosomal RNA". It matches the Rfam family "Bacterial small subunit ribosomal RNA", at positions 1249 to 1500 of the family's 1533-position model. The record is from RNAcentral.